UCCAUUUCCCUACAGAUCUGCCUCCCAGGACAAUCCUGAGGAGAUACUCUCAUUUUAAUUCUGAGGUGAACACUCCUCACGUGUCUGAAGACUGACACAGACAGAACUGUAAAGGAAGAAGGAGAUCUUAGAGACAGUCCCACUGCUGUACACACAAGGAACGUGCGGUCCUCUGCUUGAGGCUGACAGGACCAGUCAGAAUCACCAGUUAAAAACCCCUGGGAACCAGAUCUCAACUCAAGGAAGCUUUAUUCUGGAUUAAGAUUUCUCAGCCGGUAGCAAGAAAAAAAUGUGAAAUUGCUUUUAACAAAGUCCUGAGAGUUGAUUUGGAACAAGAAGAAUUGGACUUGAACCGUUAUGCUACAAUUUCACAGCCGGGUAACACUGGGUAUAAAGCAUUGUUGGAGGAAGUCAUUGAGAAAACUGCGAGGUGACCUGCAAACUGGACCUGGGGACUAGAAGGUGCCUCAUCCCCUCUCCUGUCAUUGCCCCCACAUUCUACAUUCUACCACCAUUGCCAUGUGGAGCUGUUCCAAGGAUGUAGCCUUGAGAGAGUAAGAUGUUGUUGAGAUCUCUAUGUGGUAUAUAUGUCUGAGCCCAGUUAAGGCCUCUCUAUAAACUUUUAAGAUUCUGGCUGGUGGAUAUCGAGAUCUGUUCAUCUAGCAACUGCCCAAGACAAGCCUCUUAAAUGAUGUCCCUGACUCACAGAUGGUGCCUGUGGCCUCUUCUGCGAUUGGAGAUGAGGGCUGUGUGUUCACAGUGAUAGCCAGAGCCUCCACUUGCUUCCUGUGGUCUAUCUCCAUGAAUUAGAGAAAAUUAAGAAGAAAAGAUUAAUUGAUUACAGAAAAUCAUCCCAAGACGAUGCUCAUUCUAACUGGUACAAAAGAGAGAAGCUAACCAUGUUCUGAGGCAGAAACAAACCUGAGAGUGAAGGGGGAACAAACCUGCAGCUCUUAAAUAAGUCAAAGAAAAGAUUGUGAAGACUCCCACAACAAUAUAGAACAGCAACAAAAAUAACAGGGUUUGCCAUGGGUUGGUUUUGAUGGACUGAUUUCUUUCCUCUUUUUUGGCCAUAUUUCCCUACUCCUUUAUAUGUCUGGCGAAUCAGAUGAGAUGCUGAAAAUCAAGGGAUAGGAUCAGCAUCCUUGACACUUUUGGAACAGAAGUUUAGAAACAGAGAUCUGCCAAGGUUGACGUGAGCCUAGAACAGAGUAGGCAUACGACUAUGAAGCCACAUGCAAGAGCAAAAAGGAAGCAUGUCAAGGGUCAUGGAGCAGAAGACUAGGGACAACUGGGUCCCUAAAGACAGCUGAGCUUCUGCAAACCUUACUGCCAGGCAUAUCACGUGUGGAGAAGAAACUCUUAUUUCUUUAAACUGUGAGUUGCAUUUUCUGUUAUUUGCAGACAAAAAGAUUUCUGUGUGCCAUUUCCUCUCCUUUACAUCUAAUCCUCAAAUUCUGUCACUUUUGCUACCUCACGAAUUCAGUAUUGCUCUUUAUCUGCAUGAUAAUGCUUCAGUUCAAGCUACCACUAUUAUUUGUUUCAGUUUCUUACAGAGCUUCCUGGUAUCCCCACAGGUAAUCUCACACACUGCCCGAUACACACUCACAUCACCAGUGUUUCUUGAUUAUUUCCAGUAGGAAGCUCAAGCCUCUCGUGAUGACACAUAAGACUACUGAAACUACCUUUGCCUGUGUCUCCAGCUCUAUACUCAUCAAAAUGCUCCUCCACCCUAUACUUCAGUGUGCUUCCCUGACCUCACGUGAUUUUAUGCAUUAUACAUGUUGCUUGCUCAGCCUAAAAUGCCCUGGUUAUCACUUUCUUACACCCUGUUCUUACUUAUUGCUCAGACUAGAUCCUGUAUUUUUCAAGUCAGAGAAGUCUUUCUUAAUACUGCACUUAGAUUAGGUACUGUUACCACAUGGUCUAUCAGCACCCCAGGCUUAAUAUUACUAUUGCUAUUAUUGCUGUAUUAUGAAUCUCUGUUUGCUAUCUUUGCCAACUAGUUCUUUGGAUAAAUUAUUCAUUUCUAUUUGCAUAUACACAAUGCAAUGGCUAACAUACAGCAGAUUCUCCAUUAUGGUUGAAAAAUACACUAAGUGGAAAAAUGAAUGGUAACUUAGAUUGAUUUAGUCAUAUAUUUUAUCAACAUUUUACAUGUAAAUUCUUCUAUCAACUUCCUAAAGUAAAUCUGCAUAUAUUUUAUUUUUGUUAAUACUACAUCUUUGUGCAAAAGUACAGAUAGCCCAUGUAUCGUUUUUCUCUGUGUGGCAGACCAGGCUAAGGUACAAAGAGGAGCCUUGGCUUCCAUAUUACAACAGAGUUAAAGAUUAUAAACCUGACUUCAAAUUUUAUUUUUGUAUAUUUUUGCUAUAUAAAUAGUUUUUAAAUCCUACAGAAUACUCAAUAGUUUUUCAUAAUUAAUGUGUCAGAAACAUUCAUUAUUUGUUGCAAAUGUUACUUGUCAAAAGUUGCAUAUUUAAUAGAGUGCUACUCUUUUGAUAGCACCAAUACAUAAUUUCCUUCAUUGGAGAAAGAUUCCUAAGUUUAAUUUUCUUUUCCUCAUUGAUAGAGGUGAGACAUGUGAAGAUCUGUCAUCCAAUUAUAUCUCUUGCUUGGGAUGACCAAAAAAAAAAUGUAGAGCUUGCAAAUAUUCUCUUUACUGUUGGAAAAAUUAAUAACAAAGGAAACAUUCUCAGGAUAGCAACAAUAGCAGAAUCCUCUUAAGAGGUCUCUUUUGCCUGGAAUAUUGUAAUGACAUCUUCCUGGAAUUCCCUACUCCCCAACAAUCCAACCUAAAGAGCAGCCUGGGUGAUCCUGCUCAAAUAUGUAUUCGAUCAUGUCACUAUUUAUAGUGGACCCUGUAAGUUAAACAACAUAGAUUUAAACUGUGCAAGUCCACUUAUUCAUGGAUUUUUUUUCAAUAAGUAUACAAAAAUAUACGUGUAAAACAUCUUGUGCGAGACUUUUAUUGAGGUGGAUAGCCUAUCCUUACAUAGGCACAAGGCGAGUGAGUGACACUUAAUAUAAGAUUAAUAACGUGUUAGUUUUCUUAGUUUUCUAGCCUUGCUUUCAAAGAGUUACACUACUGUACUGUACUGUAUGCCUCUCUCUCAUCAAUGGAGAAACUAUUUAUCAGCCUAUCAUUGUAGGUUAAGUUUUUUUAAUGCAACAAUGUUUCCAAUUCUGUAUCAUAAAUACAACUGUAAUACUGUAUCCCAUAAAAAUUUUAUAAUGAUUCAUUCAUUAGUGUAUAGGCUAGGCUACCAUGAAACAAUCCUAUUGAUUAUGCUAGGCUACUAUAAAGCGAUCAUUGCUAAUUCUUUGUUAUCAGUGCAUGAACUGUCAUAUCUGUGAAUAAAUAUUAAUUUCUUUUUCA
This is a long non-coding RNA of Vicugna pacos (alpaca), 3379 nucleotides long. RefSeq lists it as uncharacterized. The record is from RefSeq and is a predicted model, not a curated record. NCBI's taxonomy places the organism in Eukaryota, Metazoa, Chordata, Mammalia, Artiodactyla, Camelidae.